Molecule: ribosomal RNA, 465 nt
Filed under: uncultured Desulfobulbus sp.
Lineage: Bacteria; Pseudomonadati; Thermodesulfobacteriota; Desulfobulbia; Desulfobulbales; Desulfobulbaceae
Description: bacterial SSU rRNA
Rfam family: Bacterial small subunit ribosomal RNA
Source: RNAcentral
CCGCACAAGCGGUGGAGUAUGUGGUUAAUUCGAUGCAACGCGAAGACCUUACCUGGUCUUGACAUCCCGGAGACCCUUAGGAAACUAGGGGGUGCUUCCAUCUGGAAGAAUCUGGAGACAGGUGCUGCAUGGCUGUCGUCAGCUCGUGUCGUGAGAUGUUGGGUUAAGUCCCGCAACGAGCGCAACCCUUGCCUUUAGUUGCCAGCAGUUCGGCUGGGCACUCUAAAGGGACUGCCGGUGUUAAACCGGAGGAAGGUGGGGAUGACGUCAAGUCCUCAUGGCCUUUAUGACCAGGGCUACACACGUACUACAAUGGCCGAUACAAAGGGCAGCGACACUGCGAGGUGAAGCCAAUCCCGUAAAAUCGGUCUCAGUCCGGAUUGGAGUCUGCAACUCGACUCCAUGAAGUUGGAAUCGCUAGUAAUCGUGGAUCAGCAUGCCACGGUGAAUACGUUCCCGGGCCUU